CUGCAGCCAAUUAAGAUGCAGGGUUCAUUUGCUGGUGGGUGUCCACAGUUCAGCUGCAGAGAGCAACCUCAUGAACAGUGCAUGCAGCCUGCUGCUUAUAUGGGCUGUCCUAGGAAACCUUGGGGACACUC
Octodon degus (degu) is the source of this 131-nucleotide small nucleolar RNA. Its record names the gene SNORA70. It matches the Rfam family "Small nucleolar RNA SNORA70". From Rfam's summary of the family: snoRNA U70 seems to be exclusive to mammals and is a member of the H/ACA class of snoRNA which contain H (ANANNA) and ACA box motifs. Lineage: Eukaryota; Metazoa; Chordata; Mammalia; Rodentia; Octodontidae. The record is from Ensembl.